AUUCUUCUGAAGGGCAAGUAUGGU
RNAcentral lists this non-coding RNA (24 nucleotides) under Cricetulus griseus (Chinese hamster). The record is from RNAcentral. Lineage: Eukaryota; Metazoa; Chordata; Mammalia; Rodentia; Cricetidae.